Molecule: non-coding RNA, 75 nt
Organism: Myotis davidii
Lineage: Eukaryota; Metazoa; Chordata; Mammalia; Chiroptera; Vespertilionidae
Source: Rfam
GGUGGUUCUCAGGUGACAUAUCCUGAAAUCGGGCUCCCUCCUCUCCGGUUCCAAGUGCAUCAUUCAAGAACCACA